Molecule: unclassified non-coding RNA, 142 nt
Filed under: uncultured fungus
Lineage: Eukaryota; Fungi
Description: sequence contains ITS1
Source: RNAcentral
GGGAGGCGAUGGCCGUGCGUGCGCGCGGGGUCGUAGACGGGGUCACCGAGGUCGAGCGUCGCGAGCGUCGUGACGGUGCCGGCGACGCCGAUCGCGCUCGAGACGUCGAGCUCCGGUAGGAGCGACCUCACGUACGCGCUCG